GACGAACGCUGGCGGCGUGCUUAACACAUGCAAGUCGAGCGGUAAGGCUCCUUCGGGAGUACACGAGCGGCGAACGGGUGAGUAACACGUGAGUAAUCUGCCCUUCACUUCGGGAUAACCACCGGAAACGGUGGCUAAUACCGCAUACGACCAGUCUUCGCAUGAGGUGCUGGUGGAAAGUCUUUUCGGUGAAGGAUGUGCUCGCGGCCUAUCAGCUUGUUGGUGGGGUAAUGGCCUACCAAGGCUUCGACGGGUAGCCGGCCUGAGAGGGUGACCGGCCACACUGGGACUGAGACACGGCCCAGACUCCUACGGGAGGCAGCAGUGGGGAAUAUUGGACAAUGGGCGAAAGCCUGAUCCAGCAACGCCGCGUGAGGGAUGACGGCCUUCGGGUUGUAAACCUCUUUCAGUACCGACGAAGCGCCCUGUCGGGUGGUGACGGUAGGUACAGAAGAAGGACCGGCCAACUACGUG
Molecule: ribosomal RNA, 474 nt
Filed under: uncultured bacterium
Lineage: Bacteria
Description: partial 16S ribosomal RNA
Rfam family: Bacterial small subunit ribosomal RNA
Source: RNAcentral